Molecule: ribosomal RNA, 253 nt
Filed under: uncultured bacterium
Lineage: Bacteria
Description: partial 16S ribosomal RNA
Rfam family: Bacterial small subunit ribosomal RNA
Source: RNAcentral
UACGGAGGGUGCAAGCGUUGUCCGGAUUUAUUGGGUUUAAAGGGUGCGUAGGCGGAUUGGUAAGUCAGUGGUGAAAGUUUGCAGCUCAACUGUAAAAUUGCCAUUGAUACUGUCAGUCUUGAGUGCAGUCGAGGUGGUUGGAAUGCGUAGUGUAGCGGUGAAAUGCUUAGAUAUUACGCAGAACACCAAUAGCGAAGGCAGAUCGCCAGGCUGUAACUGACGCUGAGGCACGAAAGUGUGGGGAUCGAACAGG